Molecule: non-coding RNA, 1918 nt
Organism: Rattus norvegicus (Norway rat)
Lineage: Eukaryota; Metazoa; Chordata; Mammalia; Rodentia; Muridae
Source: RefSeq, a predicted model, not a curated record
UCCAACCAUGCGCUCAGAGAAACAUCCCUGGCAUCCAGAGAUUUGCCAGCACCUCCUGCUGUUGGCUGCCACAUUUGGAGCUGAAACAUAAGCAUUGUGGCUUACAUCACUGCCCUCUGGGCAGCACAGUUGGUGUGACCCUGCCCACUCUCCCUCCUGGUCACCAGCAUACGGCAACAUGGGAGGGGAAAUGAAACCCCAAGAGGGGUGCCAUGGUGUUUUCCUGUGUGUUCUCUAUAGAGGCUAGACCUUACCUGAUAAGUAUCCAAGUGCUUCCCAGGGCUUUGGGUGAGAGUGUCAUUGUCCAGGAAUGUUGGUGACUGAAGCUAGAUAGUGUGGCACUUCCCAACCUCCCUCCUGCUCUAUCUUGGCUGAGUUCCUGCCAUUCUCAUGCCAGAGGACAUCACUGCCCUGACGUUGCAUAAGGACAACAUGGGGGGGGGGCACAAGACCAUUGGCUUGUUUCUCUUUUGACUUCCCAAUUCAAAAACCAAUAGUUUCAGGGCCCUGGUGACUUUGUGCUUGGUCUACUCCUGUGGAGAGAAACUCUAACCUCCUGGGGUCUGUUGCCAAGACAUCAAGAUGGGCAUUUGCAUCCUUCACGAUGGUUCACUUCCUCCCUUCCAAAGCCAAGUGUGAAGCCUUCAAGCGAAGGUCUUACUUUGCUCAUUUGUGUCUGCAGCGACAGGCCAGUCAAUGGAUCCCAGGGGAGGAAGGAGCUCCAGUUGACUCCUUCUCGUGGAGAAAGAGUAUGGAGAUCUGAGAAGCCAGAGAAACUGCCUUGAUCUUUGUCCUGAGGUAACCUUGGCACCCAAGACACAAAGUCCAAAGGCCUGGAACUGCUUGGGGUGCCAGUGCCUUUCCAGAUGCUGGCGAUGCCAAGGUAGUACUCCGCGAGACCAAGCACCUUUUAUGGCCUCAUCCGAGUCUUGGACAUGAGCCUUAAGUUUGUCAUGGACUUCUUACAACAAUUUACAAAUGGUCGCCCUGAAUGCAAUACUCCCGGUUAAAACAGGUUAAGUCCUCUAUGCCAUGAACAGAGUGUGAUCUGUGGCAAAAAGCAUCCCUCACGGGCGUCUUUUUCUAUUUCAGUUCACUUCCGGUUUCCGCAUUAGGCACAGGGAGCCCGGAAGAACAGUACAGCCCUGGCUUCAGAGAGCUACAAAAAAACAAACAAGCUUGGAAACAAAUAAAUGGUUCAAAGCAUUUUAAUUGCUGUGGUGUGAACAUCAGUUCUAUCUGUUCAGACAGUGACUAGUCUCUCCUGGAGGUAAAGAGGUGUGGAGAUCAGGAAGUGAUCCACUGGGGAGGGAAAGAGAUCUUAUCAAGUUCCAGGUGAGGGAAAGGGCCCGUAAAGUAGGAGUUCUGUUGACAAACAGGCAAUGGGGCUUGAAGGUUUAAUGAUGGGAUCCUGAGUCCCACAGGGCUCGAGCUGCUCCGGAAGGCAGGGCAAAGGGAGUUUGACCAUGCUUACCCCAUGCCCCGCUGGGGGCGGGUGUCAGGCUGCAGGACACUGCUUCAGGGGUGGAGAAGCAAAGACUGAGCUCUGGACACAGCUGGAGCUGGCUCAGGGGUCCCUAGGCCUGUAAGGAGGCCGGGGGCCGUCGGUUCUCAGGCUCUUGGGUGCCGCAGAAGAGCUGAGAAAGGAGUGGGGGCCUGCAAGGAUCUAGCCCAGGGCAGAGGGGAAAGGAGGAGGCACUCCAGCUGCUCCUGCUGAGGAAGAGUCUUUGGCCUGAUGGGUAGCGGGCUUGGACUUGGUGGUCUCCGGUGCUGGGAAUGCAGGGAGGCCUCCUGCGGGACUGUGUAGGCAAAGGCCUUCUCCCUGGAUCCCCAAGUCCGAUCCCAUAAAAAGAGGCAGCUCAUGGUUUCAAGACAUUUAUUGUCAUGGCUGGAAGUGGAUGAGUAAAACUGUACCCUA